UAGGGAAUCUUCCGCAAUGGGCGAAAGCUUGACGGAGCAACGCCGCGUGAGUGAUGAAGGUCUUCGGAUAGUCAAACUCUGUUAUUAGGGAAGAACAAAUGUGUAAGUAACUAUGCACGUCUUGACGGUACCUAAUCAGAAAGCCACGGCUAACUACGUGCCAGCAGCCGCGGUAAUACGUAGGUGGCAAGCGUUAUCCGGAAUUAUUGGGCGUAAAGCGCGCGUAGGCGGUUUUUUAAGUCUGAUGUGAAAGCCCACGGCGCAACCGUGGAGGGUCAUUGGAAGCUGGAAAACUUGAGUGCAGAAGAAGAAAGUGGAAUUCCAGGUGUAGCGGUGAAAUGCGCAGAGAUAUGGAGGAACACCAGUGGCGAAGGCGACUUUCUGGUCUGUAACUGACGCUGAUGUGCGAAAGCGUGGAGCUCAAACAGG
This 429-nucleotide ribosomal RNA is filed under the name Actinomycetes bacterium. RNAcentral describes it as "Actinobacteria bacterium partial 16S ribosomal RNA". It matches the Rfam family "Bacterial small subunit ribosomal RNA", at positions 355 to 776 of the family's 1533-position model. Lineage: Bacteria; Bacillati; Actinomycetota; Actinomycetes. The record is from RNAcentral.